This 253-nucleotide ribosomal RNA is filed under the name uncultured bacterium. RNAcentral describes it as "partial 16S ribosomal RNA". It matches the Rfam family "Bacterial small subunit ribosomal RNA", at positions 524 to 776 of the family's 1533-position model. The record is from RNAcentral.
UACAGAGGGGGCAAGCGUUAUUCGGAAUUAUUGGGCGUAAAGGGCGCGUAGGCGGCCAUUCAAGUGACGGGUGAAAGCUCUCGGCUUAACCGAGGAACUGCCUGUCAGACUGGAUGGCUUGAGACCGGGAGAGGUGAGUGGAAUUCCCAGUGUAGCGGUGAAAUGCGUAGAUAUUGGGAGGAACACCAGUGGCGAAGGCGGCUCACUGGACCGGAACUGACGCUGAGGCGCGAAAGCGUGGGGAGCAAACAGG